UAUAGACAAUCUACAGACAAUCUACAGACAACCCAACAGAGCUCCUCCUGUGCUUUCACCUGUACACAAUGCCAGGGCCCAGCUGGACCGAAAAUGUGGGUAUUUCUGGGUUUGUGUCCACCAGGACAUGAGGGAGGAUAUACUACAGAGUUCUCAGAGCACUUUGCACACCAUCUGAGAUCAGGUGAUGACAGUGAAGACGAAUUACUCAUUAAAUACACCAGGUAUCAUCCCGCAAAUGCAGCCAAUGCCAGUACAGUGGAAACGUCCACACAUGGAAGGAGGAGGUCCAUGGGAAGGCUGCGCUCAGGGAGGCUGCAGGCGUUCAAAUGUUUCAUAAAAGAAUCAAUGAAAGUUGCACCUGAAACACUGGUGCAGUACACCAGCUAUGAUCAGGGCGUUCCGGAGGUGAUCCUAUGUUCUCAGAAGCUCUACAUGCAAAUCCCUUCAACUUUGCUCAGGGGGAUGAGCUCACCGCAGAAAUUGUCCUGGUUUUUGACCUCAAAAUCCAGGCGCAUCAUUUUGAAAAACAAAGAUGAAGACCACAAAGGGGAACAGACUCAAUUUACUGAAAAGCACCAGAUAUUUGCACAGAAGCACCUCAACAGAAAAGGCACACAGAGGAAAAUCACAUGGAGACACAAGGAGAUGGUGGAUGGCUGUCAACAGGGACAAGAGUCUUCUCAUGAGCGCUGAUCACUCUUGACCUUGGACUUCCAUCUCUACAAAGAGAAAAAGUCAGUUCCAGCUGCUUAGGGGAUCUGUUCUGUGGUACUCACUAUGGCGGCCUCAGCCUGCGGAUGUGAAGAUUUAGGAAGGCAAAUAAGAAAAACCUACAGAGCAGAAGAAAAUCAGUGAGGCAAACCAGGUCUACGUGAGCAGAGAGCCUGAGGAAGGUCCUGGCUGGCAGCCGCGCAGGAGGAAACGUGACAUUCGGGAGUUCCUGUGUGAGAAGGUUCUGAACAAGGAGAGAUGGAUCCGAGUUACUGAAACCAUUCCAGAGCCAGGACCGGACCAGGCAGGCUCACCUCCAACUCUCCAGGUUCUUACAAUCUGUUCCCAUUGCUACAGCCCACUGCUUGUGCGUCCUCUUCUCCGUGUGUUGUACCAGCCAUUCCCCACCUCCUGCUCUGCUCUCAGUUCCAGCUGGCCUUUUACCGCGCGCUUUUCAUCUUUCCUCACUGUAACCAAGUACUUUACCAGAAACUUAAGGAGAAGUUUACUAGGCUCACGGUUUUGGAUGUUCGAAUGCAUCAUCAGCUGGCUCCAGGGCAGAAACUCCACGGCACAAGUGCGUGCUGAGCAGAGCUGCCCACCUCACGGUAGCUGGGAAGCAGAGAGAGAGAGGGAAGGGGGCUGGGAUCGAACACAGCCCUCAAGAUCACACUCCUACCACCCACUCUUAAACAAGGCCUCAUGUGUUAGUCUCCAUUAUCCCGCAGUACUGCUACCAAAGUAAGAGCCAUCAGCUGGUGAACCCGCUGGGGAACUUACAGCCCCCACCUCCCAUCACCUUCCCGGAAGGCCUGUCCGUGAACACACCGGAGCUCGGGGGACAUUUCAGACAUAAAUCAUGACAUACUCGCACUCAGACUGCCAGAGGAGAGAGGAAGAAGGCGGGCCAUACGAAUGGGCAUAAUGGAAGCACUGACUACACUUUGAAGAGGUCUUGGGAGGUGUGUCGGUAGGCCAAGGAGAUUCUGGAAAGUACAUAUAACCUGCAACAGGUAUGUAAGACAUGAGUAGUUUAGCAAGCCAAAUGGUAACACUAGGAAACAACUCAUCCCCAUUAUAAGAGCCAUCUAUGCAGGGGGGAAGUGUAGCAUGAUGCUGUUACUAAACAAAAAAGGUGCUCUUUUGAGAAUGACUCCAUUAAAAUCUGUUUUAUUCACCUCUGUAACAGACUGGCUCAGUUUCAAUGUCAAACUGCAGAAGGCUUUAUCCACACUCUUGGUGUCCGCCAACUGUGAGGAAAGCAAGCCAUUUUUGUUCAGCACCUGCCAAAGCAAGGCCUGGGUCUGGGGCAGCAUUUCAUAAAUGCAGCGAAUGAAAAGUACCGACCCUUCUUUUACCUCUAUGCCAUUACGGGCCAUCAAGCUGAAGACAAAGACUGCAAGUCCUCUCCGAAGCAGCUCACAGCUGGUCCAAGUGUCACUCCUAUGGCCAUCUGGUAAAACCAACCCAACGAACAAAAACCAGAAAAACCUCUAACUUUAUCAAAGAGCUAUCUCUUCAUAUACUUAUUGCUUGGACCCAAAACCUGUUUCACGGAGGCAAGUUCCUCCACAUACAGGAAAGAAGAAAGAGGGCAAAUAUAACAUGCCUGUGACAUCCGAGAAGACUCCCUUCUGUUAAAUGCAACCGUGAACGACACGGCUUCACAAGGAUUCAUUGAAGCCUCAUCUUUCAAGCUCAGUGUAAGUUUAAAUAGAUCCCAGCUCCAUUCAAUCUCAGCUCAGGGCAAUCACAACUGUAACUAACGCCUACGUCUUUCAUCUUUUGACAAUGAAAUUAAAAUAUUGCUUCAUGCUACGGUGGAAGAGAACACUCUAAAAUAAAUAAUCCCGAAGUUGAAAUAAAACUGAAAAUAACAGCAGCACCUUCCUGCAGCAGUAGGAGGCAAGGCUGAUGAAUGGAAGCUUCUCGUGCAAACUGAACGAACGCGCUGAUUUUGAAGGAAGGUGGAAGGAGACUGAGUUACUCCACGGACAGCAGGUAGUUCAGAAAGGAAGCCAAAAUGAACCAAUGUAAAUAAAAGGAGUGAUUAUUUUCUGAAAGGAAGGAUACACUAGGAAACUCAGUCAGAAGAGUGAAGUAUUUACCUGAGAUACCCCAUUUCAGAGAAGUUAUGGAAAUCAAAGGCAUUCCUGAGCACAUAGUGGACAGAGAUUGUUUUGGAACAGUAAAUUCUCCGUGCUCUUGGUCUGGAAUCCUUGAGGCUUGAAACUUCAUCUCUUAAGUCGAUGGUUAAGUCUGCCUUUACCACGCCAAGCAGCACCCGUGUUUUCAGCAUAACGGCAUCUGUGUGGGUGCUCCUGGCAUGAGCCCCAGUGCCGGCAUCAGCCUGGAAGGCUCUGUGAUCUGCCUGCCUAGUUAUGAGGCCGGCCUCGCUAGGCUAACACAGCUCCUUCCUCUACUCACUGUUCGUCUUCCUUGGACAAUUUAAUCUUGCUCCAAAGACAUCGGUGACUCUGGAAUUGGAAGGUAUCUAAUGACUCAGUAAGUCUGACCAUCUCCUUACAUUACUUGAGUCUUCCUUUCCCCUGGGCUUUUUGCCCUCUAGAUUUUGGAUUCAUAAAACAACCCAAUUCCCAUCUACUCAUUUUCCACUGCAUAAAUAAAAACAAAGCCAAAGUCAUUA
This is an RNA transcript of Chinchilla lanigera (long-tailed chinchilla), 3361 nucleotides long. RefSeq lists it as uncharacterized. NCBI's taxonomy places the organism in Eukaryota, Metazoa, Chordata, Mammalia, Rodentia, Chinchillidae. The transcript has 7 exons. The record is from RefSeq and is a predicted model, not a curated record.